This is a non-coding RNA of Equus caballus (horse), 3319 nucleotides long. Lineage: Eukaryota; Metazoa; Chordata; Mammalia; Perissodactyla; Equidae. The record is from RefSeq and is a predicted model, not a curated record.
CUACGGAGAAGCCUCAGGAAAGGAGCUCCAGGCUGGUGCCGUUCUUCCGGCCAGGCGGCAGGGGCGGAGCUGGUUGCUAGGAAGCGGGUUUCCACCAAUCACCUGCCCAGCUCUCAGUGGGCGGGGCGCGGCUCGCAGCGUCUGUGGUAACCCGGACAGCGGUGAAGGAAAAGGCCAGAGGCCGUGAGAGCUUUUCUGUUCCAAUAUAGAUGCCCACUGGAAUUUAUUUUCAUCCAGUUUUUUUAAUGUAAGGAGAGAAAAUGACUGCUGGUUCAGUGUGUGUCCCUCAGAUCAUACCUCUGCGAGUGCCUCAGCCCGGAAAAGCCAACCAUGAAAUUGAUAACAAUACACUUGUGGAAAUGAGAUCGGAUACCCCAGAUGUCAACAUAUAUUAUACCCUGGAUGGCAGCAAACCUGAAUUUCUGAAGAGAAUUGGUUAUGGUGAAAAUAAUACAUUUAAGUAUACGAAGCCUAUUACUCUGCCUGAUGGAAAAAUACAAGUGAAAGCUAUUGCGGUCGCUAACGACUGCAGACAGAGUGGCAUUGUAACAAAAGUAUUUCAGGUGGACUGUGAACCACCAAAUACAGUCUCUUUGGAAGACAGCGUUGAAAAUGUUCUCAAAGAUUCUUCAAAGCAGGAAUUGAAAAAUGGAUUUGUUGGAUCAAAACUAAGGAAGAAAUAUAAGAAUGCUGAAAAUAAACUGGGUUGGAAUGUUAACCUGAGAAAAUUUCCAGACCUCAACGGAGGUGAAAAAACUGACCCUAAAGCUUGGAAAGACCUUCGCUUCUCAGAGAGUCCACUGGAAACCCCAGCUUACCGUGAAGAAUCAGGUUCUAGCCCACACUUCCACCACUCCCAGUUCCCUAGUUUUGCACACAUAAUCGGCCAGAAGAGUUUGACAAGCACAGAGAUCAUGCGAAUUCAAAGGGAGACAGACUUUCUCAAGUGUGCCCACUGCCUUGCCCCCCGCCCAUCUGAUCCCUUUGCUCGCUUCUGUCAAGAAUGUGGCUCUCCUGUUCCAGCCAUAUUUGGCUGUCGUCUCCCACCCCCAGAAGGAGCUCAGAUGGGCUUAUGUGUAGAAUGCGGAAGCAUGGUGCCCAUGAACACUCCCAUCUGUGUGGUGUGUGAGGCCCCUCUUACUCUACAGCUGCAGCCACAGGCCAGCCUCCGCUUGAAGGAGAAAGUGAUUUGCCGCACCUGUGGCACAGGGAAUCCCGCUCACCUGAAAUACUGUGUCACCUGUGAGGGGGCCUUGCCUUCAUCACAAGAGUCCAUGUGCAGUGGAGCUAAAGCCCCUCCUCCGCCCACUCAGAAAGGGGAGAGCGUUUCCUGCCCCACAUGUGGUCGCCGGAGUCGCCGGGAAGCGCGCUGCUGUGACUGGCAUGGAGCCACGCCUGGCAUUCCUGCUUGCUACUCUGUUUGCCCUAAAUGUGAGGCCAGCAAUCACCCAUCUGCCCGGUUCUGUGGCUCCUGUGGUAUUUAUGUGAAGUCCUCGACCAGACUUAGUGUGGACAGCCACCUGGCUCUAGCUGCUGGAGAACCUGGCCCUUUUGCCGAGCCCCGAUCUGCCUGGCAGUCCCCAAAUGUUUCUCUCCCCAAGCCUGAUGCUGGGACCAAGAAGGAUGUAGGAACACAGACCACUGGCCUGUUCUACCCAUCUGGCAAGCUACUAGCCAAAAAGGAGCUGGAAAUGGCUUCUCAAAAGCAGAGGCAGGAGAAAAUGAGUGACCACAGACCUCUCCUCACAGCUGUCAGCCCAGGAAGAGGAUACUGGAGAAAACAGUUGGAUCACAUCUCCGCUCACCUCAGGUCUUAUGCUCAGAACAACCCUGAAUUCCGGGCCUUGAUUGCAGAACCCAGGAUGGGAAAGCUAAUCUCUGCUACUGUCCAUGAAGAUGGCUAUGAAGUCAGCAUCAGGCUGAAUUAUGUUCAAGUCUCAAACAAAAACCUUAACCUCAACAAGGCGGUGAAUUUCAGUGACCACCUUCUGAGCAGUGUCACCGAGGCGGGUAACGGGCUGUUCGGCAGCAGGUCGAGCUCCGUGAGUGACUACAGCCACAGCACCUCAGACACCACUGAAAACGUUAAGAGGACAAAGAAUUUCAAGACCAAGAAAUUUGAAGAAAAGAAGGGGCACCUUACACCUGAAAACAGGCUCCUGCUGAAGGAAGUCGGACCCACAGGGGGAGGAAGAGUCUCUGUGAUUGAACAGCUGCUUGACGAAGGAGCAGAUCCCAACUGCAGUAAUGAUGAAGAUCGACCUCUUCUCACCGUGGCUGUUAUGAAUAAGCACCAUGAAGCAAUUCCAGUUCUUGUGCAGAGAGGAGCAGACAUCGACCAGCAGUGGGGACCGUGAUGCCAAUGGUCCAGGUGCCACAGUUUGAGUAGCAAGGAUCUAGAGACUGUUCUUAAUAUGCAAGAGACAACUCAACAUGGCCCUUGGUAAGGAGAUGACCUCACAAUGCUGUUGGACACAAGGGAUGUUUCCCCUGUACCCGACAGGUCAGUUAUAUUGAUCUGAUAAAACUACUACUAAAUAAUAUCAUCACUGCCAACAACAACAGUAUCAAGGCCGAUCCACAAAUUUAGUUAUUUGAAGGAACUGUCUGUGUAGAACCAAUGGGCAAAUCUUUGGAAAUUCUGUCGUAGGCACAUAGCUUUGACAUUUUCACCUAUUUCCUCUGGAGAAAUAUGAGGACAAACUAGCUGAUCACACCAUUCAGAUUUCCUUGACACCAGGAGCCUCGGCCAAAUAAGUUAUUUAAGUAGCUGAAAUUAUGUGAAUGAUAAGAUCUAAAAUUAGGUAAGAUCUAACAUCAUGAGGGUGGUUUGAUGCUUAGAGUGCUGUUGCGGUUAAAAUCAGUGACAGUACUGAGUUUCUAAUUUACUGUAGAAAAUGGAAAGCCAUCUCUUUAACUGGACAGUUCAGUUUCUGAUGCCCAAAGCAGGCAGAGGAUUUCCCUUGCACAGUUGGAUAGUGGAAUUUAUACUCAUUUUUACCUGAAAUUCUUGCAACUCACGGGUUUCAAUCUCGAAGACAAUACCUCUUCCCUUAAUUUGUUUGUCUGUUCAUUCUUUUCAUUGAUGUUUCGUUUUACUGGUGGUUAUUGAGCACCUGCAAUGUGCCAGUCACUAUUCUGGGUGAUGGACAUACAGCAGUGACGAAGACAAAGUUCCUUCUGUCAUGAAGCUUACAGUUUAGUGGAAGACCCAGACAAUAAACAAGCUCCAAAAUACAGCUCUUCAUGAAGCAACUCUGCUUGGCCUGGCAGGAAGGGAGUCCAUCGCUGCUUUACUGCGAUGCAACGCAAGCAUCCG